Molecule: non-coding RNA, 30 nt
Filed under: Cricetulus griseus (Chinese hamster)
Lineage: Eukaryota; Metazoa; Chordata; Mammalia; Rodentia; Cricetidae
Source: RNAcentral
CUCGGGAGGCAGAGGCAGGUGGGUCUCUGU